Molecule: ribosomal RNA, 239 nt
Filed under: uncultured bacterium
Lineage: Bacteria
Description: partial 16S ribosomal RNA
Rfam family: Bacterial small subunit ribosomal RNA
Source: RNAcentral
CCGGCACGGGUGAGUAACACGUAUCCAACCUGCCGUCUACUCUUGGCCAGCCUUCUGAAAGGAAGAUUAAUCCAGGAUGGCAUCAUGAGUUCACAUGUCCGCAUGAUUAAAGGUAUUUUCCGGUAGACGAUGGGGAUGCGUUCCAUUAGAUAGUAGGCGGGGUAACGGCCCACCAAGACUACGAUGGAUAGGGGUUCUGAGAGGAAGGUCCCCCACAUUGGAACUGAGACACGGUCCAA